AUGCUCUACUCGUUCUUCAUUCUCCAUUCUUUUCUUCUCUGGUGGAUUCAAUUCAAGUUUUCUGUGUUGAUCAUAUUCUUUUCCUUGCUUCAAAUGCCUUCUCAUGCCGGUGCAUCUCUCAACUAUCCACUUCUCGCUAUUUCAAUUGUUCCGGAGUGCUCAAGAUAUCUCGAAGAUUCGUGUUUCCAACUCUACAUUCGUUCAAACUCUUUCGAGGAUGUUAUCUCAUUCAAGCCGUUUAUUUCAAUCGGUGCUAUCUCCUUUUCAAGUAAUCAUCCUACGGUGUUUCUUUUGAGUGGGCCCUAA
Molecule: ribosomal RNA, 306 nt
Filed under: Triticum aestivum (bread wheat)
Lineage: Eukaryota; Viridiplantae; Streptophyta; Magnoliopsida; Poales; Poaceae
Description: partial small subunit ribosomal RNA
Source: RNAcentral